AUUGAACGCUGGCGGCAUGCCUUACACAUGCAAGUCGAACGGCAGCACGGGUGCUUGCACCUGGUGGCGAGUGGCGAACGGGUGAGUAAUACAUCGGAACGUACCUUAUCGUGGGGGAUAACGCAGCGAAAGCUGUGCUAAUACCGCAUACGCCCUGAGGGGGAAAGCGGGGGAUCGCAAGACCUCGCGCGAUUAGAGCGGCCGAUGCCUGAUUAGCUUGUUGGUGGGGUAAAAGCCCACCAAGGCGACGAUCAGUAGCUGGUCUGAGAGGACGAUCAGCAACACUGGGACUGAGAGACGGCCCAGACUCCUACGGGAGGCAGCAGUGGGGAAUUUUGGACAAUGGGGGCAACCCUGAUCCAGCAAUGCCGCGUGAGUGAAGAAGGCCUUCGGGUUGUAAAGCUCUUUUGUCAGGGAAGAAACACCGGCUCUAACACAGUCCGGGAAUGACGGUACCUGAAGAAUAAGCACCGGCUAACUACGUGCCAGCCGCCGCAGUAA
RNAcentral lists this ribosomal RNA (501 nucleotides) under uncultured bacterium. Its description in RNAcentral is "partial 16S ribosomal RNA". It matches the Rfam family "Bacterial small subunit ribosomal RNA", at positions 29 to 523 of the family's 1533-position model. The record is from RNAcentral.